RNAcentral lists this microRNA (20 nucleotides) under Arabidopsis thaliana (thale cress). RNAcentral's name for it is "ath-miR156g". Its record names the gene ath-miR156g. The record is from miRBase by way of RNAcentral. Lineage: Eukaryota; Viridiplantae; Streptophyta; Magnoliopsida; Brassicales; Brassicaceae. RNAcentral also lists the same sequence under 4 other names.
CGACAGAAGAGAGUGAGCAC